GGAAUAUCUUGUUUGCAUUUUGGGGGGUUUAAAGUUGGGUAUUUAAGUUUCCGUUGUUUGAGGUUUUGAGAUACUUGGUGGAGAAUUCAGGGGUCUGGAUCAGAAGAAGCUUCUGGAUCUUUAAGUCAUUCUGCAAAACUGGAAGAGGUGAACUGAAAUUUGGAUUUUGGGGAAACAAUGGUUUGUAGCUGAUGCUAAACUGGAUAUGCAACAAUGUCAAGGAUCACUAAGUGGAAGCUUGAGAAGAAUAAAGUGAAAGUGGUCUUUCG
RNAcentral lists this unclassified non-coding RNA (269 nucleotides) under Hevea brasiliensis (rubber tree). The record is from RNAcentral. Lineage: Eukaryota; Viridiplantae; Streptophyta; Magnoliopsida; Malpighiales; Euphorbiaceae.